Molecule: ribosomal RNA, 258 nt
Filed under: uncultured bacterium
Lineage: Bacteria
Description: partial 16S ribosomal RNA
Rfam family: Bacterial small subunit ribosomal RNA
Source: RNAcentral
UGGCGGACGGGUGAGUAACGCGUGGAUAACCUGCCUCAUACAGGGGGAUAACAGUUGGAAACGGCUGUUAAUACCGCAUAAGCGCACGAAACCGCAUGGUUUUGUGUGAAAAACUCCGGUGGUAUGAGAUGGGUCCGCGUCUGAUUAGCUAGUUGGCAGGGUAACGGCCUACCAAGGCGACGAUCAGUAGCCGGCCUGAGAGGGUGUACGGCCACAUUGGGACUGAGACACGGCCCAAACUCCUACGGAAGGCAGCAG